GAUAAACGCUGGCGGCGCACAUAAGACAUGCAAGUUGAACGGACUUAAUCGAAAUAUUUAUAUUUUGAAGCGGUUAGUGGCGGACUGGUGAGUAACGCGUAAGGAACCUGCCUAUUAGAGGGGAAUAACAGUGAGAAAUCAUUGCUAAUACCGCAUAUGCCAUAGAUAUCACAUGAUAACAGUGGGAAAGGAGCAAUCCGCUAAUAGAUGGCCUUGCGUCUGAUUAGAUAGUUGGUGGGGUAACGGCCUACCAAGUCGACGUUCAGUAGCCGGACUGAGAGGUUGAACGGCCACAUUGGGACUGAGAUACGGCCCAGACUCCUACGGGAGGCAGCAGUCGGGAAUAUUGCGCAAUGGAGGAAACUCUGACGCAGUGACGCCGCGUAUAGGAAGAAGGUUUUCGGAUUGUAAACUAUUGUCGUUAGGGAAGAGAAAGGACAGUACCUAAGGAGGAAGCUCCGGCUAACUACGUG
RNAcentral lists this ribosomal RNA (473 nucleotides) under uncultured bacterium. Its description in RNAcentral is "partial 16S ribosomal RNA". It matches the Rfam family "Bacterial small subunit ribosomal RNA", at positions 28 to 507 of the family's 1533-position model. The record is from RNAcentral.